RNAcentral lists this ribosomal RNA (169 nucleotides) under uncultured bacterium. RNAcentral describes it as "partial 16S ribosomal RNA". It matches the Rfam family "Bacterial small subunit ribosomal RNA", at positions 337 to 504 of the family's 1533-position model. The record is from RNAcentral.
UCCUACCGGAGGCAGCAGUGGGGAACUUGGACAAGGGGGGAAAGCCGGAUCCAGCAAUGCCGCGCGGGUGAAGAAGGCCUUCGGGUGUAAAGCAAUUUUGUCUGGAGGGAAGUCAAGGUCUUUAACACCGAGGGGAAGACGUACCGGAAGAAUAAGCACGGCUAUUUUG